GGAAAAGGCUGGGGUUCCCAUCAAUGAAGCUUUACUUUUCUUUAAAGAAUGAACUCUAAAGAAAGUACUCUCAUAUGAAAUGUAUUCACCUACUCCUUCCCUUCAUUCCCCUCCCUCCCCAAAACGGAAAGCAGAACACAUCUUCCUUUGGACUGAAUCCCUCAUCUCUUCAUCCUCUAUUUUUCCAUGCUGAGAAAAAACUCCAGAACUGAAUGUUUGGAUUUAAAUCAAAAAUGAACACUGUCCAGCAUUGUACUCAACACCGGCUGCCGCUGGUGGUGGGAUUGUGGCAUUCAGUCUAUUUACAGGCAUGACCGUCCAAAAGUUAAGAGAGAGAUGAAGAUUUUCUUCAGAGACUAUAAAAACCUUUCAAAACAACAUAUCUGUCAAUUAACUGGAUUACUUACAAAAGGAAAAAGUCAACAGAUGUGCUGUUCCAUUUCUCUUCAGCGACUUGUUUGCUUCAACACUUCUUUGAUCUGGACUCGCCUUUGUGUGAGCUGCCCAUUGUUUGGCCUCUGUGUAGGACGUAGGUCAGAGGCAUGAAUUCGUCAGGUUCUUCAACUGUCUCAAGAUCAUUGCCGAAGAUGGGCUGUCUCAAGCGGUCAUCAAGUUUCAAGCCUAUGGAUCUCUCCUACCUCACGCUUUUUCAACAGGUUAACAUGAGUUCAUGGAGGAGCAGCAAUUUAUUGAAGGGGUUAACUGAAGGAGUAGAGGGAACAAUCAGAAGAAGAAAGGAUUCAAUUUGAACAGGAUUCAGGAGAAUUAAGAGACUUGCUAGACUUGCUGGAAAACAGAACACAAAGCCUCCAGUGACAUGAUGAUGAAUACAUCGUGGGAAACUCAUUAUUUUUACAGGAAGCAAAUACUGCAUUAUGGAAAAAGCUGAACGUAAGACAUGUGGCAACUAACACUCAGUUCAAAAGGAAGAAGAAGGAAAUAUCAACAGUUUAUUCAUUGGUGUGUUUCCAAGGGUUAGAUAGAAUUGAACACUAAUAAGCAACACAAUAUGAGAUACCUGACAGUAAGUCAUCAGAAACUUUGAUAAACUUGUGAUUGUUCUCAUUUUUAUCUAAUCCCAGGCAUACACACACAGCAAGAACUGAUACAGAAGAUUAGAAGACAAUACAGUAAAAAUGGGUGGAGAAAUUACAGUUUGGGAUGUCCAAAGUCUGGAUUCAGUUCCCAUCUCUACCAUCCCUCCAAAGUGAAAUCCAGCAAGCCUUUCUGCCAGGUGUUAUUUCUCUAUUUUUCUGAAUGUUGUCAACUUAAAGCAUUCAAUAUUAAUAGUCAGAGAGAUGGUCUGAUGGCUAAACCAACAUCAUCUCGGUCUGGAAUCGUUCAGAAUAGGUUUUCCAGCAUCAAACGCAGCUCAAAAACCUCAUCUGCAUGUGCAGCUCAACCUGGAAGGGCAGGCUGCUGAUGCUGUGGGGAGAAGAAAGAGGUAGAGGCUUUCUAGAAAGAAACUCCACCUUCAGCUCCUCACACUGGCAAAAAGCAGCCUUCAGGUGACACCUCCCUUUCCCAGGGCAAUUCCAGUCCCAGC
This 1546-nucleotide long non-coding RNA is filed under the name Struthio camelus australis. RNAcentral describes it as "lncRNA (ENSSCUG00000010221.1)". The record is from RNAcentral. Lineage: Eukaryota; Metazoa; Chordata; Aves; Struthioniformes; Struthionidae.